GGGCCCGCACAAGCGGUGGAGCAUGUGGUUUAAUUCGAUGAUACGCGAGGAACCUUACCAGGGCUUAAAUGUAAGUUGCAUUAGAUAGAGAUAUCUAUUUCUUCGGACCACUUACAAGGUGCUGCAUGGUUGUCGUCAGCUCGUGCCGUGAGGUGUCAGGUUAAGUCCUAUAACGAGCGCAACCCCUGUUGUUAGUUGCCAGCGAUUCAAGUCGGGAACUCUAACAAGACUGCCGGUGCAAACCGUGAGGAAGGUGGGGAUGACGUCAAAUCAUCACGGCCCUUACGUCCUGGGCUACACACGUGCUACAAUGGUAGGGACAGAGAGCAGCCACUACGCGAGUAGGAGCGAAUCUAUAAACCUAGUCGUAGUCCGGAUUGGAGUCUGCAACUCGACUCCAUGAAGUCGGAAUC
RNAcentral lists this ribosomal RNA (413 nucleotides) under uncultured bacterium. Its description in RNAcentral is "bacterial SSU rRNA". It matches the Rfam family "Bacterial small subunit ribosomal RNA", at positions 917 to 1333 of the family's 1533-position model. The record is from RNAcentral.